UUUCCGUAGGUGAACCUGCGGAAGGAUCAUUAUUGUAUAACCGAGGUGCGAGGGCUGUCGCUGACCCGAAAGGUCGUGCACGCCCGAGUGCCCUCACACACAUCCAACUCACCCCUAUGUGCACCACCGCGUGGGUCCCCCUUUGGCUUGUUCGGAGGGGGGCUUACGUUUUCACACAAACUUUGUAUGCAGUGUAGAAUGUAUUUUUUGUUUUUGCGAUCACGCAACCAAUACAACUUUCAACAACGGAUCUCUUGGCUCUC
This 263-nucleotide unclassified non-coding RNA is filed under the name plant metagenome. Its description in RNAcentral is "partial contains small subunit ribosomal RNA, internal transcribed spacer 1, and 5.8S ribosomal RNA". The record is from RNAcentral.